RNAcentral lists this non-coding RNA (129 nucleotides) under Angustibacter sp. Root456. RNAcentral describes it as "FMN riboswitch aptamer (RFN element)". It matches the Rfam family "FMN riboswitch aptamer (RFN element)". From Rfam's summary of the family: The RFN element is a highly conserved domain that is found frequently in the 5'-untranslated regions of prokaryotic mRNAs that encode for flavin mononucleotide (FMN) biosynthesis and transport proteins. This element is a metabolite-dependent riboswitch that directly binds FMN in the absence of proteins. RNAcentral also lists the same sequence under 1 other name. Lineage: Bacteria; Bacillati; Actinomycetota; Actinomycetes; Kineosporiales; Kineosporiaceae. The record is from Rfam by way of RNAcentral.
ACGCGUGCUCCGGGGUCGGUGAAAUUCCGAGCCGGCGGUGACAGUCCGCGACCCGACCGCAGCCAGCGGCCGGUUGACCUGGUGGAACUCCAGGACCGACGGUGAGAGUCCGGAUGGGAGGAGACACGC